Long non-coding RNA from Lathyrus oleraceus (garden pea), 2560 nucleotides. RefSeq lists it as uncharacterized. NCBI's taxonomy places the organism in Eukaryota, Viridiplantae, Streptophyta, Magnoliopsida, Fabales, Fabaceae. The transcript is spliced from 6 exons. The record is from RefSeq and is a predicted model, not a curated record.
UGCCCUAACUUUAUGCAAAUUUCAUUCUCCAUCUUUUCAGAAAUGUCACACAUUGCUUUAACUGCAUCACCCACCGUAGUCGCUUUUCACCGUGGAGCGAAACAAUGGAGCACGCUGUUUCCGAGUAGCUGGAGAAGCAGGGGAAUCAAUCCAUCCUCAUUUCCAAAUUCCACCAGAAAACGGUUACCGUUGCGGUUUUUUGCUUCUGGAAAAAAUGGCGUCAAUGGAGGUGUUGUGGAUGAGAUAUCUGAAACAGUAAAGGCGCACACGGAUUUCGUUUGGCCUGAUAACAAGAAGCCUAGAGUGUGUAUUUUAGGUGGUGGAUUCGGUGGUUUAUAUACUGCUUUAAGGUUGGAAUCACUCCAGUGGCCCGAAGACAAAAAGCCACAUGUGAGUAUUCGAACAUUCAAAUUCAAUUCAGUUCUUUCAAGUGUGUGGAAAUUGAUGCAAAAUCUAUGAUAGGAAUAACUUAGGAGCAUCUUUCUUGAUGAGAUUAUGUCUCGGUACAGAACAUUCAUCAAUGGAGCAAAAGAGAAAAAAAAAAGAAUCAUAUAACAACGUGGAAAUGCCUUACUCCUAUAUUAGUUUCCUUAACAAGUUCCCUAAUGACACUCUUUAGAAUAUUCCUUAUAUUUAUAUUUAGUGGAGCAUUAUGUUAGAUUGUAAGAGAUGAGAGGAACUGAGUUUAAAUUUAAUCCCAAUUAUAUGUUAUGAUUGCAUGGUGAGGAAUGGAUUAGGAGUAUGUUUGGAUUGACUUAUUUAAAUUUAUCUCCUGACAUAAGCACUUGUGAGUAUGUUUGAAAGAACUUAUGGAAACAGCUUAUGACAUGGCUAUAAAAUGUUUUCAACUUAUAUCUAUAAGCUCUCCAUGAUAGGUUAUGAAAACAACUUAUAGCUUAUAAGAGUAUAGUAUAACUUUAUUUUAUCUUUUAUUAUGGAAAUAGUUUAUACUAAAACCACUAUAUGAUAAACACUUAUGCUAUAAGCGCUAUAUUGAACUGUUUAUCCAAGCUGAGCUUAACUCUCAUGAAUCAUGGUAAGCUGCAAUAUAUUUUGUUCUUAUUUUGCAAGUUGAUUGUACCACUCAUUAUAAAUCUUGCUUAUAUCCUUGCACUGUGGCUUAGUUGUUGAUUUUUCUGCACUUUUUCUGAAAAGCAAUGUGUGACAUUUCUGAAAAGAUGGAGAAUGAAAUUUGCAUAAAGUUAGGGUUGGAUUUAUCGAAGUCAAGAACUUAGAGCAAUGUCUCAUAUUUUGGCAAUCCUAUUACAUGUUGGUUUGAAUGAACAGUUAAACUUCAAAAUGUACAUUCAUAUUUUGGCAUAACUUUGUCUGCUACAGUCAUAUUUUGGUUCUUACUUGUGAAUUGAAUUUCUUGAAUGAUCGAUUACUUGGUUCUUGAAUUGUUCAUGUGCAUCAUAUAAGUUUCUUGAAUUGUUUUAUACGUUAUGACUUAUCCUUGAUGUUGUUUUAUAUGUACAACGCUCAUUCCCUGUGUUUCCGUGAGUUUGACCUUCUCGACGUUGCUGUUCGGUAAAUCCGAGAAACGCGUUAUACCGUUUUGUACCCUAAUUACUUUGCGUUAAAACCAUGGAUAAGACAUGGAUGUAUUCCAAUCGAUUGUCGAAAGAGUACGAGAAUGGGGUAUCGAAAUUUGUUAAGUUUGCUAUUGCGCACGCCAAAGACCCCAAUCGAAUGACAUGUCCUUGCUUGAGUUGCUGUUAUGGGAGUCAGGUUGACGCGGUUCAGUUGGCAUCGCAUUUACUACGGUAUGGAAUUGAUAGAAGUUAUACAUGUUGGAAUUUGCAUGGUGAGAAAAGUAACGAGAAUGUUGAAUCGGGGUAUAAUACGACCUAUGCUUCAAACGACGAUUGCACAGAUACAUAUGAUUAUGAUCGAGUCGAAGAGAUUGCAGAAGCGCUUGAAGAAGAUCUUAAGGACUGUCCCAAAAUGUUCGAGAGGUUGGUAAGCGAUGCAGAGAAACCGUUGUAUAAUGGUUGUACAAAAUUCACAAGAUUAACUUAACGCCUACAAAAAAAAUUACCAUGUAAAAAAAAUUAACUUAACGCCUACAAAACCCGCAUCUAAGGAUAAAGGGAUUUCGCGGCACAACGAGUCUGUUGCAUCACAAAAAGAGGUAUUUGCUCAAGGGUCACAACAACUGAGCCAGAAAAUUGGUAGUCGACAGAAAAACAAAAGGGAUCUUCCAGUGACUUCUUUGCCAAAAAAAGGUGCUUUUGUGCCUCGAUACCAGAUAUCUCUUGAAACACUUGUUGACUCAUCAGAUAUGGCAACAGCUGGUGCUAUUCGCUUACUGGAUAUGGAGGAAGAUAUCUUUGGUUAUUCAUGCACUGAAACAAUCGGAAAAGAAGAUCUGGAACAUAUUUUUCGGCAUCAAGAAUUAGGCGUCGGUGUUAUACACACAUACAUCCGGUUCUUGUAUGACAAUUUCAUGCGCGGGAAUGAUCAAUUGUCAAACAGAUUCCGUUUCGUGUCUUCCUCCCUGGUCAACAAAGCAUUAAUUUGUAGGGAACCGGAUUCAUGUAGAGAGUACUUAGUCAAG